RNAcentral lists this ribosomal RNA (251 nucleotides) under uncultured bacterium. RNAcentral describes it as "partial 16S ribosomal RNA". It matches the Rfam family "Bacterial small subunit ribosomal RNA", at positions 525 to 775 of the family's 1533-position model. The record is from RNAcentral.
ACGUAGGGGGCAAGCGUUAUCCGGAUUUACUGGGUGUAAAGGGAGCGUAGACGGUGUGGCAAGUCUGAUGUGAAAGGCAUGGGCUCAACCUGUGGACUGCAUUGGAAACUGUCAUACUUGAGUGCUGGAGGGGUAAGCGGAAUUCCUAGUGUAGCGGUGAAAUGCGUAGAUAUUAGGAGGAACACCAGUGGCGAAGGCGGCUUACUGGACGGUAACUGACGUUGAGGCUCGAAAGCGUGGGGAGCAAACAG